This 470-nucleotide unclassified non-coding RNA is filed under the name Hevea brasiliensis (rubber tree). The record is from RNAcentral. Lineage: Eukaryota; Viridiplantae; Streptophyta; Magnoliopsida; Malpighiales; Euphorbiaceae.
UUGUAGUUCUGCAAAUUAAGCUCAUCAAUCACCUCCUGAAUCCCAUCAUCGCUAUUGUUGUCAUAGAUGAACCAUCUUUCAACACCAAGCCAAGCAUGGUAGACAAUCCACUCCCCGAGAAAAGAGGCUUGGUUCCACAGCGUACAAGCACAGAGCUCAUACUUCUUCCUACUGUAACUCCUCUGCCGCUGCAAAUUGGUGCUGUAAACUUUCGCCACAGAAGGCAGAGGCCCAUCAAUGGCAUCUUCACCAGCAUCAACCCGGCUAACUGUGACUCGAAUCCCCUGAGCCUUCUCCGGAUUCCUCCUAACACUUCGCGGCAUCAAACACCUAAUAACCUCUUGUGCAGCCGCAGUUGCUUUAGUAGUGAACACAAAUCCUUCAUUCUUGUCAAAGUUAGUUAAACCAAAGCGGCAUCUGAAUUGGGUUGGAUCUGAUUCCCUGUGUGGACGAAGAUUCAAUCCUUUAAC